AGAUCCAAUAGCGUAUAUUAAAUUUGUUGCAGUUUAAAAGAUCGUAGUUGAACUUGUGGUUUGUUUGGCUUGGUCUGACACUCAUGCGUUGGUACCUGAUCCAUGCUCCCAUCCUUAGGUGGAACCUGUGUGGCAUUAGGUUGUCGUGCAGGGGAUGCCCAUUGUUUACUGUGAAAAAUUAGAGUGUUCAAAGCAGGCUUAUGCCGUUGAACAUAUUAGCAUGGAAUAAUAAGAUAGGACUUUAGUACUAUUUUGUUGGUUUGUGCACUAAAGUAAUAAUUAAUAAGGACAGUUGGGGGUAUUCAUAUCCCAUUGUCAGCGGUGAAAUUCUUAGAUUUUUGGACAACAAACUACUGCAAAAGCAUUUACCAAGGAUGUCUUCA
This 383-nucleotide ribosomal RNA is filed under the name uncultured eukaryote. RNAcentral describes it as "SSU rRNA". It matches the Rfam family "Eukaryotic small subunit ribosomal RNA", at positions 587 to 972 of the family's 1831-position model. The record is from RNAcentral.